CCUACGGGUGGCAGCAGUGGGGAAUAUUGGACAAUGGGCGCAAGCCUGAUCCAGCCAUGCCGCGUGUGUGAAGAAGGCCUUCGGGUUGUAAAGCACUUUCAGUGGGGAAGAAAGCCUUGGGGCUAAUACCCUCGAGGAAGGACAUCACCCACAGAAGAAGCACCGGCUAACUCCGUGCCAGCAGCCGCGGUAAUACGGAGGGUGCGAGCGUUAAUCGGAAUUACUGGGCGUAAAGCGCGCGUAGGCGGUCUGAUAAGCCGGUUGUGAAAGCCCCGGGCUCAACCUGGGAACGGCAUCCGGAACUGUCAGGCUAGAGUGCAGGAGAGGAAGGUAGAAUUCCCGGUGUAGCGGUGAAAUGCGUAGAGAUCGGGAGGAACACCAGUGGCGAAGGCGGCCUUCUGGACUGAAACUGACGCUGAGGUGCGAAAGCGUGGGUAGCAAACAGGAUUAGAUACCCGAGUAGUC
This 465-nucleotide ribosomal RNA is filed under the name Vreelandella stevensii. RNAcentral describes it as "partial 16S ribosomal RNA". It matches the Rfam family "Bacterial small subunit ribosomal RNA", at positions 338 to 795 of the family's 1533-position model. The record is from RNAcentral. Lineage: Bacteria; Pseudomonadati; Pseudomonadota; Gammaproteobacteria; Oceanospirillales; Halomonadaceae.